RNAcentral lists this transfer RNA (72 nucleotides) under Camelus bactrianus (Bactrian camel). It matches the Rfam family "tRNA". Rfam says of the family: Transfer RNA (tRNA) molecules are approximately 80 nucleotides in length. The record is from Rfam by way of RNAcentral. Lineage: Eukaryota; Metazoa; Chordata; Mammalia; Artiodactyla; Camelidae. RNAcentral also lists the same sequence under 2 other names.
GUGGGUAUAGCUCAGUGGUAGAGCUCAUACUUAGCAUGCAGGAAGUUCUGGGUUCAAUCCCCAGUACCUCUG